Long non-coding RNA from Eriocheir sinensis (Chinese mitten crab), 307 nucleotides. RefSeq lists it as uncharacterized. The transcript has 3 exons. Lineage: Eukaryota; Metazoa; Arthropoda; Malacostraca; Decapoda; Varunidae. The record is from RefSeq and is a predicted model, not a curated record.
AUUGGGGAGUUCAGGUGAGGGAUCCACGAACGAGAUUGGGGAGUUCAGGUGAGGGAUCCACGAACGAGAUUGGGGAGUUCAGGUGAUGGAUCCACGAACGAGAUUGGGGAGUUCAGGUGAUGGAUCCACGAACGAGAUUGGGGAGUUCAGGUGAUGGAUCCACGAACGAGAUUGGGGAGUUCAGGUGAGGGAUCCACGAACGAGAUUGGGGAGUUCAGGUGAGGGAUCCACGAACGAGAUUGGGGAGUUCAGGUGAGGGAUCCACGAACGAGAUUGUGGAGUUCAGGUGAGGGAUCCACGAACGAGA